GACGAACGCUGGCGGCGUGCCUAAUACAUGCAAGUUGAGCGCUGAAGGUUGGUACUUGUACCAACUGGAUGAGCAGCGAACGGGUGAGUAACGCGUGGGGAAUCUGCCUUUGAGCGGGGGACAACAUUUGGAAACGAAUGCUAAUACCGCAUAAAAACUUUAAACACAAGUUUUAAGUUUGAAAGAUGCAAUUGCAUCACUCAAAGAUGAUCCCGCGUUGUAUUGGCUAGUUGGUGAGGUAAAGGCUCACCAAGGCGAUGAUACAUAGCCGACCUGAGAGGGUGAUCGGCCACAUUGGGACUGAGACACGGCCCAAACUCCUACGGGAGGCAGCAGUAGGGAAUCUUCGGCAAUGGACGAAAGUCUGACCAAGCAACGCCGCGUGAGUGAAGAAGGUUUUCGGAUCGUAAAACUCUGUUGGUAGAGAAGAACGUUGGUGAGAGUGGAAAGCUCAUCAAGUGACGGUAACUACCCAGAAAGGGACGGCUAACUACGUG
RNAcentral lists this ribosomal RNA (497 nucleotides) under uncultured bacterium. Its description in RNAcentral is "partial 16S ribosomal RNA". It matches the Rfam family "Bacterial small subunit ribosomal RNA", at positions 28 to 507 of the family's 1533-position model. The record is from RNAcentral.